AUGGGAAGUUCAAGCGUUGGCGCUGUAGCAGCGGUGUGCAGGAGCAGGGAUGGUCUCUUUCUUGGUGCGUCCACUGUUGUGUUCAAGGGUAUCUCCGACCCUACAACACUUGAAGCGAUGGGAGUUAGGGAAUCGAUGACACUAGCUGAGGAUCUCCAGUUGCAAGCGAUUCACGUGGCGACGGAUUGCAUGGACGUGGUGAAUGAUAUCAAGCAGAAGAGUAGCCCGAGCUAUGGGGCCAUUAUACAUGAAAUCAUAGAGUACUCUAGUAGUUUUAAUUUAUGUACUUUUGUUCAUGAGUUUAGGAGCUCGAAUGUCAAAGCUCACAAUCUAGCGAAGCAUGCUUUGAGACUAGGGAUCGGUCGCCAUGUCUGGUUAGGCCACCCCGGUGAUCUUUCUUUCGUCCCUGUAAACAUUGUGAUGGACUAA
RNAcentral lists this ribosomal RNA (429 nucleotides) under Triticum aestivum (bread wheat). RNAcentral describes it as "partial small subunit ribosomal RNA". Lineage: Eukaryota; Viridiplantae; Streptophyta; Magnoliopsida; Poales; Poaceae. The record is from RNAcentral.